GCACUGCUGAGGAGUCCCAUAAUAGGAAGAAACAGCCGUCCAGUGC
This is a non-coding RNA of Schistosoma rodhaini, 46 nucleotides long. The record is from Rfam. NCBI's taxonomy places the organism in Eukaryota, Metazoa, Platyhelminthes, Trematoda, Strigeidida, Schistosomatidae.